UUCCGGUUGAUCCUGCCGGACCCGACUGCUAUCAGAGUGAGAUUAAGCCAUGCGAGUUAACGUAGCAAUACGUGGCGCACGGCUCAGUAACACGUAGUCAACAUGCCCAGAGGACGUGGAUAACCUCGGGAAACUGAGUCUAAACCGCGAUAAGUGAGGAUUUCUGGAAUGGUUCCUGACUAAAAUCUAUAUGGCCUCUGGAUUGGACUGCGGCCGAUCAGGCUGUUGGUGAGGUAAUGGCCCACCAAACCUGUAACCGGUACGGGCUCUGAGAGGAGGAGCCCGGAGAUGGGCACUGAGACAAGGGCCCAGGCCCUAUGGGGCGCAGCAGGCGCGAAACCUCUGCAAUAGGCGAAAGCCUGACAGGGUUACUCUGAGUGACUUUCGCUAAGAAAGUCUUUUGGCACCUCUAAAAAGGGUGCAGAAUAAGGGGUGGGCAAGUCUGGUGUCAGCCGCCGCGGUAAUACCAGCACCCCGAGUGGUCGGGACGAUUAUUGGGCCUAAAGCAUCCGUAGCCGGUCCUGCAAGUCUUCCGUUAAAUCCAGCUGCUCAACAGAUGGGCUGCGGGAGAUACUACAGGGCUAGGAGGCGGGAGAGGCAAGCGGUACUUUAUGGGUAGGGGUAAAAUCCGCUGAUCCAUAGAAGACCACCAGUGGCGAAGGCGGCUUGCCAGAACGCGCUCGACGGUGAGGGAUGAAAGCUGGGGGAGCAAACCGGAUUAGAUACCCGGGUAGUCCCAG
This 740-nucleotide ribosomal RNA is filed under the name uncultured archaeon. RNAcentral's name for it is "bacterial SSU rRNA". It matches the Rfam family "Archaeal small subunit ribosomal RNA", at positions 1 to 750 of the family's 1478-position model. The record is from RNAcentral.